This 361-nucleotide ribosomal RNA is filed under the name uncultured bacterium. RNAcentral's name for it is "partial 16S ribosomal RNA". It matches the Rfam family "Bacterial small subunit ribosomal RNA", at positions 338 to 696 of the family's 1533-position model. The record is from RNAcentral.
CCUACGGGCGGCAGCAGUGAGGAAUAUUGGUCAAUGGUCGGGAGACUGAACCAGCCAAGCCGCGUGAGGGAUGAAGGUACAGAGUAUCGUAAACCCCUUUUGUCAGGGAACAAAGGCGGGGACGCGUCCUCGGAUGAGUGUACCUGAAGAAAUAGCAUCGGCUAACUCCGUGCCAGCAGCCGCGGUAAUACGGAGGGUGCCAGCGUUAUACGGAUGUACUGGGGGUAAAGGGUGCGCAGGCGGUCUGUUAAGUCAGCGGUCAAAGCCCGGGGCUCAACCCCGGCCCCGCCGUUGAACCUGGCAGUCUCGAGUUGGGGAGAAGUAUGCGGAAUGCGCGGUGUAGCGGUGAAAUGCAUAGAUA